RNAcentral lists this long non-coding RNA (330 nucleotides) under Brachypodium distachyon (stiff brome). RNAcentral describes it as "long non-coding RNA (BDIS_LNC004434)". Lineage: Eukaryota; Viridiplantae; Streptophyta; Magnoliopsida; Poales; Poaceae. The record is from RNAcentral.
CGAAAGUUUGGGAGAUCACAGCAGCAUCCACCACUUGGAGCUUUGACUCUUGGACACAGACAAGCGACAAAUUGAAUGACUGAAGAAAGAGACGGAUGGAGUUUCUCCUAGCAGGGUUGUUCAGCCCCCUGAUAUUCCACACCACAACACUAAGACAAGAAUCCAUCAGAAAAUAAAUAAAAGCUUCAGGAGACAACAGAGCAGCAGCAAGCCUAAGCGCAAGGUUCUGCUUCAUCCGGAAGAGUGAAUGCCUGGAUGCCAGAGUAGGCAGGCUCGUCGAAGCUGUAUUCUUCCGGGGCGAAGAGGGCUGCAAUUGCGCGCAGGUGCUGC